UUACAAUACACUUGCCUCACCCUUCCAGAGUGCCAGGAUUAUAGGCCUGUGACACCAAGCUCAGAUAAGAGUUCAGCUUUGAAUGUGGGUAUCUGGGGUGUCUACUGAUAUGCAUCCUCAGGACCCAGCCUCCACACUCUCAACAACUGUCACCAAAAUCGCUCUUCUCUGGGCACGGCCUUCCGUCUUAGGAGAAAAAAGACUUUUAAGAAGAUGAGGGAUAAUGAUCAUUGGAUCGAGCAUCUGAUGGCCGUGGCAGAUUAAAUGAGGAGGGCAGAAUCCUCCAUGAUGCAUCUGACUCCAGAUUGGAACAGAGCACUGCUGGCUCCUCUCAGACUUAAAAGUUUUCUUUGCCUGCUUGCCU
RNAcentral lists this long non-coding RNA (364 nucleotides) under Cavia porcellus (domestic guinea pig). RNAcentral describes it as "lncRNA (ENSCPOG00000035671.1)". The record is from RNAcentral. Lineage: Eukaryota; Metazoa; Chordata; Mammalia; Rodentia; Caviidae.